AGUGAAAGACGGUCUUGCUGUCCUACUUAUAGAUGGAUUCCCGCGCUAGCAUUAGCUAGUUGGUAAGGUAACGGCUUACCAAGGCAACGAUGCAUAGCCGACCUGAGAGGGUGAUCGGCCACACUGGAACUGAGACACGGUCCAGACUCCUACGGGAGGCAGCAGUAGGGACUCCUUCCGCAAUGGGCGAAAGCCUGACGGAGCAACGCCGCGUGAGUGAUGAAGGUCUUCGGAUCGUAAAACUCUGUUAUUAGGGAAGAACAUAUGUGUAAGUAACUGUGCACAUCUUGACGGUACCUAAUCAGAAAGCCACGGCUAACUACGUGCCAGCAGCCGCGGUAAUACGUAGGUGGCAAGCGUUAUCCGGAAUUAUUGGGCGUAAAGCGCGCGUAGGCGGUUUUUUAAGUCUGAUGUGAAAGCCCAGGCUCAACCGUGGAGGGUCAUUGGAAACUGGAAACUUGAGUGCAGAAGAGGAAAGGGAAUUCCAUGUGUAGCGGUGAAAUGCGCAGAGAUAUGGAGGAACACCAUGGCGAAGGCGACUUUCUGGUCUGUAACUGACGCUGAUGUGCGAAAGCGUGGGGAUCAAACAGGAUUAGAUACCCUGGUAGUCCACGCCAAACGAUGAGGUGCUAAGUGUUAGGGGGUUUCCGCCCCUUAGCUGCAGCUAACGCAUUAAGCACUCCGCCUGGGGAGUACGACCGCAAGGUUGAAACUCAAAGGAAUUGACGGGGACCCGCACAAGCGGUGGAGCAUGUGGUUUAAUUCGAAGCAACGCGAAGAACCUUACCAAAUCUUGACAUCCUUUGACAUCUAGAGAUAGAGCCUUCCCCUUCGGGGGACAAAGUGACAGGUGGUGCAUGGUUGUCGUCAGCUCGUUCGUGAGAUGUUGGGUUAAGUCCCGCAACGAGCGCAACCCUUAAGCUUAGUUGCCAUCAUUAAGUUGGGCACUCUAAGUUGAUCCUGCCGGUGACAAACCGGAGGAAGGUGGGGAUGACAUUCAAAUCAUCAUGCCCCUUAAUGAUUUGGGCUACACACGUGCUACAAUGGACAAUACAAAGGGCAGCGAAACCGCGAGGUCAAGCAAAUUCCCAUAAAGUUGUUCUCAGUUCGCGAUGUAGUCUGGCAACUCGACUACAUGAAGCUGGAAUCGCUAGUAAU
Molecule: ribosomal RNA, 1158 nt
Filed under: Staphylococcus aureus
Lineage: Bacteria; Bacillati; Bacillota; Bacilli; Caryophanales; Staphylococcaceae
Description: bacterial SSU rRNA
Rfam family: Bacterial small subunit ribosomal RNA
Source: RNAcentral